RNAcentral lists this unclassified non-coding RNA (252 nucleotides) under uncultured fungus. RNAcentral describes it as "partial contains 5.8S ribosomal RNA, internal transcribed spacer 2, and large subunit ribosomal RNA". The record is from RNAcentral. Lineage: Eukaryota; Fungi.
AACGCACAUUGCGCCCCUUGGUAUUCCUUAGGGCAUGCCUGUUCGAGCGUCAUCUAACCCCUCAAGCACCGCUUGAUGUUGGGCGCCUGUCCCGCCGCACGCGCGCGGACUCGCCUCGAAGACAUUGGCGGCCUGUGUGUUGGCCACGAGCGCAGCAGACCACGCGGCUCGUGCCCUCCCGCGCAGGCGCUCCAGGAAGCGAACCCCCCCAGUUUUGACCUCGGAUCAGGUAGGGAUACCCGCUGAACUUAA